This 132-nucleotide ribosomal RNA is filed under the name Meriones unguiculatus (Mongolian gerbil). The record is from RNAcentral. Lineage: Eukaryota; Metazoa; Chordata; Mammalia; Rodentia; Muridae.
GUUUAAAGUCAUAUUAUCCUGAACAUGCCCAAUCUCACGUGGUCUUGGAAGCUAAGUAGGGUUGGACCCAGUUAGUUAGAACACAGAUGGGAAAAAAAAGAAAGACAAAAACCAGGCUUGGUGCCAUAUGCC